RNAcentral lists this ribosomal RNA (1538 nucleotides) under Klebsiella pneumoniae. RNAcentral's name for it is "bacterial SSU rRNA". It matches the Rfam family "Bacterial small subunit ribosomal RNA". The record is from RNAcentral. Lineage: Bacteria; Pseudomonadati; Pseudomonadota; Gammaproteobacteria; Enterobacterales; Enterobacteriaceae.
AAAUUGAAGAGUUUGAUCAUGGCUCAGAUUGAACGCUGGCGGCAGGCCUAACACAUGCAAGUCGAGCGGUAGCACAGAGAGCUUGCUCUCGGGUGACGAGCGGCGGACGGGUGAGUAAUGUCUGGGAAACUGCCUGAUGGAGGGGGAUAACUACUGGAAACGGUAGCUAAUACCGCAUAACGUCGCAAGACCAAAGUGGGGGACCUUCGGGCCUCAUGCCAUCAGAUGUGCCCAGAUGGGAUUAGCUAGUAGGUGGGGUAACGGCUCACCUAGGCGACGAUCCCUAGCUGGUCUGAGAGGAUGACCAGCCACACUGGAACUGAGACACGGUCCAGACUCCUACGGGAGGCAGCAGUGGGGAAUAUUGCACAAUGGGCGCAAGCCUGAUGCAGCCAUGCCGCGUGUGUGAAGAAGGCCUUCGGGUUGUAAAGCACUUUCAGCGGGGAGGAAGGCGNAAGGUUNNUNNNNNNNNGAUUGACGUUACCCGCAGAAGAAGCACCGGCUAACUCCGUGCCAGCAGCCGCGGUAAUACGGAGGGUGCAAGCGUUAAUCGGAAUUACUGGGCGUAAAGCGCACGCAGGCGGUCUGUCAAGUCGGAUGUGAAAUCCCCGGGCUCAACCUGGGAACUGCAUUCGAAACUGGCAGGCUAGAGUCUUGUAGAGGGGGGUAGAAUUCCAGGUGUAGCGGUGAAAUGCGUAGAGAUCUGGAGGAAUACCGGUGGCGAAGGCGGCCCCCUGGACAAAGACUGACGCUCAGGUGCGAAAGCGUGGGGAGCAAACAGGAUUAGAUACCCUGGUAGUCCACGCCGUAAACGAUGUCGAUUUGGAGGUUGUGCCCUUGAGGCGUGGCUUCCGGAGCUAACGCGUUAAAUCGACCGCCUGGGGAGUACGGCCGCAAGGUUAAAACUCAAAUGAAUUGACGGGGGCCCGCACAAGCGGUGGAGCAUGUGGUUUAAUUCGAUGCAACGCGAAGAACCUUACCUGGUCUUGACAUCCACAGAACUUUCCAGAGAUGGAUUGGUGCCUUCGGGAACUGUGAGACAGGUGCUGCAUGGCUGUCGUCAGCUCGUGUUGUGAAAUGUUGGGUUAAGUCCCGCAACGAGCGCAACCCUUAUCCUUUGUUGCCAGCGGUCNGGCCGGGAACUCAAAGGAGACUGCCAGUGAUAAACUGGAGGAAGGUGGGGAUGACGUCAAGUCAUCAUGGCCCUUACGACCAGGGCUACACACGUGCUACAAUGGCAUAUACAAAGAGAAGCGACCUCGCGAGAGCAAGCGGACCUCAUAAAGUAUGUCGUAGUCCGGAUUGGAGUCUGCAACUCGACUCCAUGAAGUCGGAAUCGCUAGUAAUCGUAGAUCAGAAUGCUACGGUGAAUACGUUCCCGGGCCUUGUACACACCGCCCGUCACACCAUGGGAGUGGGUUGCAAAAGAAGUAGGUAGCUUAACCUUCGGGAGGGCGCUUACCACUUUGUGAUUCAUGACUGGGGUGAAGUCGUAACAAGGUAACCGUAGGGGAACCUGCGGUUGGAUCACCUCCUUA